ACUGAAUAGAUACCCAGGUAGUCCUGGCCCUAAACGAUGUCUACUAGAUCGUGGCGGCACUGACGCCGUCAUGGUCGAAGCAAAAGUGUUAAGUAGACCGCCUGGGAAGUACGGUCGCAAGGCUAAAACUCAAAGAAAUUGACGGGGGCUCACACAAGCGGUGGAGCAUGUGGUUCAAUUCGAAGCAACGCGAAGAACCUUACCUGGGCUUGACAUGCUAGGAUUAUCUCCAUGAAAGUGGAGUACGCGGCGCAAGCCGUGGAACUAGUACAGGUGCUGCAUGGCUGUCGUCAGCUCGUGUCGUGAGAUGUCGGGUUAAGUCCCUUAACGAGCGAAACCUUUGCCCUUAGUUGCCAUCGGGUUAUGCCGGGCACUCUAAGGGGACUGCCGGUGUCAAACCGGAGGAAGGUGGAGAUGACGUCAAGUCCUCAUGGCCUUUAUGCCCAGGGCCACACACGUGCUACAAUGGCGUCCACAAAGCGAACCGAGAGCGCAAGCUGGAGGAAAUCGCAGAAAUGACG
RNAcentral lists this ribosomal RNA (521 nucleotides) under uncultured bacterium. RNAcentral describes it as "bacterial SSU rRNA". It matches the Rfam family "Bacterial small subunit ribosomal RNA", at positions 772 to 1285 of the family's 1533-position model. The record is from RNAcentral.